Non-coding RNA from Beta vulgaris subsp. vulgaris (sugar beet), 408 nucleotides. The record is from Rfam. NCBI's taxonomy places the organism in Eukaryota, Viridiplantae, Streptophyta, Magnoliopsida, Caryophyllales, Amaranthaceae.
ACUUAAACAAAGAAAGUAAUGUUUCAUAUUUCUUUAAUAAACAAGGAAAAAAAUUUAGUUAGCUAAGAAAAACAUCAAAAAAUUCACUUGUUACAAAAUGACGAAGAGUUAUUUAUUUAGAAUACGUCUAACCCAUUGUAGAUACGAGGAUUGACUAAUAAAAUCUUUUACUAUUGAUGUUUUGUAAAUAAUUUCUCCAUUCUUUUUCUAUCUUUUAUGUUUAACAACCUGCCCACCCUGAAAACGGCUCAGCCGGAGGUAGGGUCCAGAGCCUGAAAGAGCACCGCACGUUGCGUGGUGUCCGGUGCGCCCUCAGUGGCCCUUGAAAAUCCGAAGGACUGAGUGCCGACCACGCCUAGUUGAACUCAUCAUAACCACAUAAGGUCUCCAAGGUGAACAACCUCUGGU